RNAcentral lists this transfer RNA (73 nucleotides) under Actinomycetota bacterium. Its description in RNAcentral is "tRNA-Leu". It matches the Rfam family "tRNA". From Rfam's summary of the family: Transfer RNA (tRNA) molecules are approximately 80 nucleotides in length. Their secondary structure includes four short double-helical elements and three loops (D, anti-codon, and T loops). Further hydrogen bonds mediate the characteristic L-shaped molecular structure. tRNAs have two regions of fundamental functional importance: the anti-codon, which is responsible for specific mRNA codon recognition, and the 3' end, to which the tRNAs corresponding amino acid is attached (by aminoacyl-tRNA synthetases). tRNAs cope with the degeneracy of the genetic code in two manners: having more than one tRNA (with a specific anti-codon) for a particular amino acid; and 'wobble' base-pairing, i.e. permitting non-standard base-pairing at the 3rd anti-codon position. The record is from RNAcentral. Lineage: Bacteria; Bacillati; Actinomycetota.
GCCCCCGUAUCCCAACGGCAGAGGAAGGCCGCCUAAACCGGUCUCAGUGUGGGUUCGAAUCCCACCGGGGGCA